RNAcentral lists this ribosomal RNA (460 nucleotides) under uncultured bacterium. RNAcentral describes it as "partial 16S ribosomal RNA". It matches the Rfam family "Bacterial small subunit ribosomal RNA", at positions 338 to 795 of the family's 1533-position model. The record is from RNAcentral.
CCUACGGGAGGCAGCAGUGAGGGAUAUUGGUCAAUGGACGAGAGUCUGAACCAGCCACGUAGCGUGAAGGAUGACUGCCCUAUGGGUUGUAAACUUCUUUUAUAUGGGAAUAAAAUGUUCCACGUGUGGGAGUUUGUAUGUACCAUAUGAAUAAGGAACGGCUAACUCCGUGCCAGCAGCCGCGGUAAUACGGAGGAUCCGAGCGUUAUCCGGAUUUAUUGGGUUUAAAGGGAGCGCAGGUGGAUUGUUAAGUCAGUUGUGAAAGUUUGCGGCGCAACCGUAAAAUUGCAGUUGAAACUGGCAGUCUUGAGUACAGGAGAGGUGGGCGGAAUUCGUGGUGUAGCGGUGAAAUGCUUAGAUAUCACGAAGAACUCCGAUUGCGAAGGCAGCUCACUGGACUGCAACUGACACUGAGGCCCGAAAGUGUGGGUAUCAAACAGGAUUAGAUACCCCAGUAGUC